This is a long non-coding RNA of Gossypium arboreum, 598 nucleotides long. RefSeq lists it as uncharacterized. The transcript has 2 exons. Lineage: Eukaryota; Viridiplantae; Streptophyta; Magnoliopsida; Malvales; Malvaceae. The record is from RefSeq and is a predicted model, not a curated record.
GGGGACAAAUAUCCCUAAAAGCAGAAACAUACAAAUCAUAGUUAGUGGCGCCGCUUCCUUUUGACUUUUCAAUUUUUAUUUUAAAACCAUUUAACCUUUAUAUAUUUUUUUUGAAAAACUGCUCUCAAACCCCCCUUUUUUAUCUCUUCCUCCUUUCUUCAGUUAAGGUUUCAACACCCAUCAUUGCCGGCGGUUCACCGUGCCGAACGGAGAGGGGAGCGGCCACGGGGUAGAUCCGGGCAUGGGCAUGGACGGUGGGGUGUGUGAUAGUGCUGGUGGCAGACAGCAUGGGAGAGUGGGAGUGGUGCUGGUGGCAGACAGCAUGGGAGAGUGGGAAGAGGCAAGUAGGAGUUUAGGGUUUUGGGAUUGGGCUUGGAUGUUGGGCUAGGUUAAUUUUAGGUUUUGGGUUUGAGGAUAAGUUAAAUAGUUUAAUGGGCCUGGGUAUUUUGUAAACGGGCCAAAAUUGGCCUACAACAUUUACGACCUAAUUUUGGACUCAAAUUUGUGUGGAUUCAAACAAUCUUAAUCAUUACUGUAAGGUGUCCCCAUGACGAUGGAAAUUAUAUAUGUAAGAAGACGCAUGAAGGUUUUGCAUGGA